GAGUGAAUGGAAAACGUCAUACAGUGGCAAGCACCCCUGUGGCUAUCCCCGUCAACAGUAAAUAUUCCGUACAAGAUGACUUGCAAGAGUUCACCCUCUUGAAAGAUGUUCUGACAUCAGCCCCUGAGACAGAGAUCACAGCGUCAUCAAAUACUGCAGGGAUUUGCACAAGUGUAGUUUUAUUCUCCGUUUCAAAGAGUGCAUGAAAGGCAUCAAGCUCAUCUGGGAGUGAAGCAUCACAGACAAUCAUGAUGUUAGGUUUUGCCUUGUGGGAAGUAAUGGCCUGCAAACACCGCCAGAGCUGAUGUUUUGUCUGAUUCUGUCUCUAACUUCAAUUGGAAUUGUUUUUUCAGUUUUGAAAUAGCUUUUCAAAGGCCGUAGCCGGACGUCUUGUUUAGUGCAAGAUCAUUGGUCUUGAACGCCACAGAUCGAGCCCUCAGCAGACUGCGAAUCUCCUGGUUCAUUCACAGCUUUUGGUUUGGGCAUUCCCAGAACACAAUCAAUGAAAAAAGUACAUAGAAACAAAACUGAGAAUCAAUGUGCAAAAGAAGACAAAUUGUGCAAAUACAAAAACACAUCUUAAUAAGAAGCAUAAGUAGAAAAGUAAAAUAAUAACAUUGAGAACAUGAGUUGUAGAGUCCUCAAAAGUGAGUCCACAGAUUGUGGAAUCAGUUCAGUUUUGAGGUGAGUGAAGUUAUCCACACUGGUUCAAAAGUCUGGUGGUUGAAGGGUAAUAAUUGUUCCUGAACAUCUUGGUGUGGGACCUAAGGUUCCUCUUUCUGUUAAACACAAUUGUGAAAAUAUGAUAUACCUAUAAAAAUGAGUAAACAAUGUAGUUCUAGAUCUAUUGGUUUCCCCUAAUUUCACUUUGAAUGCUUUAAUUGUCUUGAUCUGGAUUUACUACUUGUUUCACUAAUAAUCUUUCGAUCCAUAUUUGCAAACUGACUCAUGUUCUUAUUGCAUUGGACUGCAAAUGAAAGCUAACAGGGCUAUAAAUCAGAAAACAUGUUGCACAGAGUACGUAGCAAUCAUUCUUACAGAAAGCAAAAUACACAGCUGUUCAAUGAGCUACGUUGUUCCAGGCUGAUAUCAGACACUGGCUUCUGCCCAGCUCCUUGCUGGCAGUGUCCUCAGGGAGAUGAACGAAAGGGCUAUUGUACUAAUGAAUUUAUUUCAUUUAUUUCUACUAAGAAUUAUCUGCUUAGUGAUUUUUUGUUUAAAAGAUUUUUAUUUGCAAAUUCUGGUGAAUCCAGUGACUUAUGUUCUACCUAAUUUCUAUUCAAUAUCUCAAUAUAUAACCAAUAUCAAUACAAAUGAAGCAUUAUGGAAAAUUAUUGGUAAAUAUAAUAAAAUGAUUAAUUAUUACACUGUGGAUAUCUGGUCCUAAGAUUUUAUAUUACAUACCCAACGAUAUUUAUAUAAAAUAUUCAUCAAUAUCCAAACCAUCAUUACUUCCUCAACUUUUCGUUAAUAGAGGGCUAGGAUCUUGGCUCAAAGUAUUGACUUUUUAAUUCACUUCCACGGAUGCUGCCUGAUUUGCUGAGUUCCUAUUAUUUUGUGUCUAUUGCUCGACAUUUUCAGCAUCUGCAAAAUCUCUCGUGUUUAAGAGAGAAAUCUUAUUCUCUUUACUAAAUGUGAAACAUGUGCCUAUCGUGUGAUACAUAGCUGUUAGUGCGAUGCUAUUACAGCUCGGGGCAUUGGAUUUCAGAGUUCAUUUCCAAUGCCGUCUAUAAGGACUUUCUGUGUUCCAAGCCAUGAACAAGUGGGUUUUCUCCAGAUGCUUUGGUUUCCUCCCACAGUCCGAAGACGUACCAGUUAGUAGGUUAAUUAGUCAUUGUAAAUUGUCCUUUGAUUAGGCUGGGUUAAAUGGGUGUAUUUCUGGGCUGGAAGGAACUGUUUCAUGCUGUAUCUUCAAAUUAAAAAAUAACUUUUUAAUUACAGGAAACUAAGACUAAGGUGGCUGCUGUUUUUAAAACCUUGUUCUAACAGUGCUGCCAGUAAUGAAGUAUAUAAAAUAGAGCUCACAAGUGAAGUCGCCAACUGUAAUAAUCACUGAUAAACUCUUUAGCUUAAGACAAAGACAAUUCAUCCAGAGCAAAGCUUUACUUUUUCAUUGUCUGUAAAAUAUCCUGACAGAGAAGUUACAAGCACUAGUUCAGCACUUUGGUGUACUGAAUAUCCUGGAUGUAGGUAAUUAAAUGUCCUGCU
This is a long non-coding RNA of Hypanus sabinus (Atlantic stingray), 2208 nucleotides long. RefSeq lists it as uncharacterized. The record is from RefSeq and is a predicted model, not a curated record. The transcript is spliced from 3 exons. NCBI's taxonomy places the organism in Eukaryota, Metazoa, Chordata, Chondrichthyes, Myliobatiformes, Dasyatidae.